RNAcentral lists this ribosomal RNA (1337 nucleotides) under Salmonella enterica subsp. enterica serovar Enteritidis. RNAcentral's name for it is "partial 23S ribosomal RNA". It matches the Rfam family "Bacterial large subunit ribosomal RNA", at positions 1538 to 2849 of the family's 2925-position model. Lineage: Bacteria; Pseudomonadati; Pseudomonadota; Gammaproteobacteria; Enterobacterales; Enterobacteriaceae. The record is from RNAcentral.
AAAUCCGGUUCACUUUAACACUGAGGCGUGACGACGAGGCACUACGGUGCUGAAGCAACAAAUGCCCUGCUUCCAGGAAAAGCCUCUAAGCAUCAGGUAACAUCAAAUCGUACCCCAAACCGACACAGGUGGUCAGGUAGAGAAUACCAAGGCGCUUGAGAGAACUCGGGUGAAGGAACUAGGCAAAAUGGUGCCGUAACUUCGGGAGAAGGCACGCUGACACGUAGGUGAAGUGAUUUACUCAUGGAGCUGAAGUCAGUCGAAGAUACCAGCUGGCUGCAACUGUUUAUUAAAAACACAGCACUGUGCAAACACGAAAGUGGACGUAUACGGUGUGACGCCUGCCCGGUGCCGGAAGGUUAAUUGAUGGGGUCAGCGCAAGCGAAGCUCCUGAUCGAAGCCCCGGUAAACGGCGGCCGUAACUAUAACGGUCCUAAGGUAGCGAAAUUCCUUGUCGGGUAAGUUCCGACCUGCACGAAUGGCGUAAUGAUGGCCAGGCUGUCUCCACCCGAGACUCAGUGAAAUUGAACUCGCUGUGAAGAUGCAGUGUACCCGCGGCAAGACGGAAAGACCCCGUGAACCUUUACUAUAGCUUGACACUGAACAUUGAGCCUUGAUGUGUAGGAUAGGUGGGAGGCUUUGAAGUGUGGACGCCAGUCUGCAUGGAGCCGACCUUGAAAUACCACCCUUUAAUGUUUGAUGUUCUAACGUGGACCCGUUACCCGGGUUGCGGACAGUGUCUGGUGGGUAGUUUGACUGGGGCGGUCUCCUCCUAAAGAGUAACGGAGGAGCACGAAGGUUGGCUAAUCCUGGUCGGACAUCAGGAGGUUAGUGCAAUGGCAUAAGCCAGCUUGACUGCGAGCGUGACGGCGCGAGCAGGUGCGAAAGCAGGUCAUAGUGAUCCGGUGGUUCUGAAUGGAAGGGCCAUCGCUCAACGGAUAAAAGGUACUCCGGGGAUAACAGGCUGAUACCGCCCAAGAGUUCAUAUCGACGGCGGUGUUUGGCACCUCGAUGUCGGCUCAUCACAUCCUGGGGCUGAAGUAGGUCCCAAGGGUAUGGCUGUUCGCCAUUUAAAGUGGUACGCGAGCUGGGUUUAGAACGUCGUGAGACAGUUCGGUCCCUAUCUGCCGUGGGCGCUGGAGAACUGAGGGGGGCUGCUCCUAGUACGAGAGGACCGGAGUGGACGCAUCACUGGUGUUCGGGUUGUCAUGCCAAUGGCACUGCCCGGUAGCUAAAUGCGGAAGAGAUAAGUGCUGAAAGCAUCUAAGCACGAAACUUGCCCCGAGAUGAGUUCUCCCUGAGACUUAGAGUCUCCUGAAGGAACGUUGAAGACGACG